Molecule: long non-coding RNA, 677 nt
Organism: Lingula anatina
Lineage: Eukaryota; Metazoa; Brachiopoda; Lingulata; Lingulida; Lingulidae
Source: RefSeq, a predicted model, not a curated record
UUCCGAGUGUGGAAUUAGGUCACGAUUUCGACAAGGAUUCGAUUCGUUUUCGAUAGCUUCGAGAAUACCAAGAAUCGUUCACGAUUUUUUAAUGAAUCGAAGAAAAAAUUUGAUGUCGAAACCUUUCGAAUACAGACCUCAUAAUAGAAGUGCUCCUUAUCAUUAUGGGCUAAAACAAAAGUGAAAGUGGAAAUUUACAUCACAUGCCAGUACUGGUACUUCAAAAAAAUUCGCGUGGAAAAUAUUCAUUUAUUUCUUAAGUUAUCAGUUAUAACGAGAGAACCACUCCCAUGGUACUUAAAACUGGAGAAAGCCUGGUUUUCCUGUUUAUCGUGCAUGUAUUGCCAGUAGAGUAUGUACAUUCUUAUGAAACUUUUCAGUUUGGAGAAUCAUGUGAUAACAACAUAAGAUUGGUUGGCAGUUACAGAGCAAUAAAUUACUCACAUUAUGCCUACACCCUCGAAGGUCAGACACAUGUUUGUGAGAUGUGCUUCCCAGGUUACAGAGUCCAGAACCAUUGCACAAAUUUUUCUCGUCACCUUGGUUCAGAUUGUAGGGUUUGCCAAGAAGGAACUUACAGUAACUGGACAUGGGAGUGCCAGUGUAAAAAUUGCACAGAUAGGCCUUCAGAACAGCACAUCCUUUUCUCAAAGUGCAAUUUAACACAGGAUGCAGUA